GAGGAAAAGAAACCAACAGGGAUUGCCCCAGUAACGGCGAGUGAAGCGGCAGCAGCUCAAAUUUGAAAUCUGGCNCCCUNCCGGGGCCCGAGUUGUAAUUUGCAGAGGGCGCUUCGGGCGAAGCCCCGGUCCAAGUCCCUUGGAACAGGACGUCAGAGAGGGUGAGAACCCCGUGUCCGACCGGCGGCGCUCCCCGCGUGAAGCCCCUUCGACGAGUCGAGUUGUUUGGGAAUGCAKCUSCAAAUGGGUGGUAAAUUCCAUCUAAAGCUAAAUACCGGCCAGAGACCGAUAGCGCACAAGUAGAGUGAUCGAAAGAUGAAAAGCACUUUGGAAAGAGAGUCAAACAGUACGUGAAAUUGUUGAAAGGGAAGCGCUUGCGGCCAGACUUGCCCGCGGGUGUUCAGCCCGCCCUCGCGGCGGGCGCACUCUCCCGCGGUCAGGCCAGCAUCGGCUCCGGCGGCCGGACAAAGGCCCGGGGAACGUGGCCCCCUCCGGGGGGUGUUAUAGCCYCGGGCGCAAUGCGGCCAGCCGGGGCCGAGGACCGCGCUCUGCUAGGAUGCUGGCGUAAUGGCCGCAAGCGGCCCGUCUUGAAACACGGACCAAGGAGUCUAACGUCCAUGCGAGUGUUCGGGUGUCAAACCCCUGCGCGCAAUGAAAGUGAACGGAGGUGGGAGCCCUCGGGCGCACCAUCGACCGAUCCCGAUGUCUUCGGAAGGAUUUGAGUAAGAGCAUGGCUGUUGGGACCCGAAAGAUGGUGAACUAUGCCUAGAUAGGGUGAAGCCAGAGGAAACUCUGGUGGAGGCUCGCAGCGGUUCUGACGUGCAAAUCGAUCGUCAAAUCUGGGUUU
RNAcentral lists this ribosomal RNA (847 nucleotides) under Seynesiella juniperi. RNAcentral's name for it is "partial large subunit ribosomal RNA". Lineage: Eukaryota; Fungi; Ascomycota; Dothideomycetes; Myriangiales. The record is from RNAcentral.